AAUAAUGCCAACCUUCCUCUAUGACACAUCAGUGUUUAAAGUUUGGAGCCGAUCAGUUGUCUCUAGGUAUCGCACGGUAAUCAAAACAUGAAACGCUUUUUAUAAAAUUUACCAGAGGGCACCUGUACAUGCCAACAGUUACCUGAACCUUUCUAUAGUUACAGUACACCAGCGCUGAAAAUUUGAAGCCGAUAAGAUGAGACAUUCUCAAGUUAUGUAUAAUCAUGAAGUUUGGGGAUAGAAAAAAUCAAGCAAGUACUAUAGGGUUCCAACAGUGAGCUAUCCUCCCUUGAUGGGAGGAUAGUUCACUGUUGCUAGUGACGGGGUGAUCCAACGAACUAAAGUUAUUCUCUCCUUGAAUCAGGUAAACUGUAUGGGUUUAGCUCUUCUUCAUGAUUCAAAUAAUAAUUCAAUAACAUAUUAUUAUAACAAAUAAGUGGUUAACCCGUAAGGGUGAGAGAGCGCCUGGUAACACACUAACGUGUGUAUGUGUGUUAAGGUGAACUAACAGGCAAUGAAAUAGCCUAGAAAGUGACGUAGUGGAGGCGGGAACUAUACACAGUUUUCAGACGAGGUUUGAUAAAGCUCAUGGAGCAGGGAGAGAGGACCUAGUAGCAAUCAGUGAAGAGGCGGGGCCAGGAGCUAUGACUCUCGACCCCUGGAACCACAAAUAGGGGCGGCGGCAGCGGUGGUCCAUGCAGCGCGGGGCGGAAGGAAGGAAGGAAGCCGAAGCACCGCUUGCCUGACUACGUCUCAUUGCUCGCAGGACAAGUGGCACACGAAGAGGAAGGAUGGAUGAGUACCAUUCAUUGAUCCACUGGACGUGGCGCAGGCCAGCGUGAACGACUCACAUCCAGUGGGUCGGCAGUUCGUGUCUUCCCCUACGUAUUCUUACAUUACUGACAGUGCUACAUAUAUAUCAUUGAUCAGCUACACAUCAUCAAAAUACAGGUGAAUAAAAAUACUAGCAGUGUUAAAAAUAUCCAGGAACGGCUGAGAAAGAGUAAAGGUGGUAAGUUAGUAAACAAAUAUCUCACACUCACGGGUGGAAGAACCAUUUAAAACCAAUUCUUGCGUCGUUGAAGUACCUUAAGCAAGAAAGAUGAAGCACAAUCUUGCUGUAAGCAAAUAUCAGCCAGACUCAAAUCAGCUGUUAAGGAGCCAUAACAAACCUGAAAGAUGAAGAAACUAAAUUAGACAAUGAAUUAAAUAAUCUGGAACAAUGAAAAAACUAAAUCAA
This is a long non-coding RNA of Cherax quadricarinatus, 1240 nucleotides long. RefSeq lists it as uncharacterized. The record is from RefSeq and is a predicted model, not a curated record. Lineage: Eukaryota; Metazoa; Arthropoda; Malacostraca; Decapoda; Parastacidae.